RNAcentral lists this long non-coding RNA (977 nucleotides) under Vulpes vulpes (red fox). Its description in RNAcentral is "lncRNA (ENSVVUG00000017296.1)". The record is from RNAcentral. Lineage: Eukaryota; Metazoa; Chordata; Mammalia; Carnivora; Canidae.
CUGUUCUAGGAUAAAAGGGGAUAAGUAGGUUUAAAUAGUGGUAGAGGAAAAAAAGAGACUUUUGACCUACAGAAAAGGAGUAAGGCAGGUGUUGCAAAGGAGGAAUGUAGAGAGAAAGCACAGUGAUUUUGGCAGCUGAUGGAAAAAGAGGGGAACUCAGGAAUUAAUGGGUGAUGUUUAGCAGGUGUGGUUGAUGCUGCUGGUGCCUCGCCCAGGCCCUCUAUACCUACCAGAGCACCAGAGCCCAGAUGUAACAGUGUUGGCUGAUAAUAACUGACCCAUCCCCCUUCUCCAAAUGGAAGCCACUGUCCCUAGAAGGUUAGCCUACCCUCCCUUCACUCCAGGAGGCAGCCCAGGGGUACAAAAAGCUUGGUUCUUUUGCCUCAAGAUGAGAAGAUAGGAUCAACUUUGUGGUGUAAUUCAUGUUCCAGAGCCUCUUGUGCAAUCAAUCUGAGACUCAAUUCUGAUGAAAUCCCCAUUCUUGCCUAGUCUUCUAUUCCCCCUCUUACUCAUCUUCCCCCGAAGUACUCUCCCACACAUCUCCUAACAAGAAUCCCAUCUCAGAUUCUGCUACGAGGACACCUGACCUAAGACAGGAAGAUUUACACUGUACCUGUGAUGCUACCCACUUUCUCCAUGCUCCCUGUCCCAGGAAAUCUCAGGAAUGCAGGCAUAGUUGUGUUGUGCAGGAAAGAUGGCUUGGCAUUGAAGGCCCUUGUUUAAGGGAAAGAACACAAAGAACUCCAAACCAAGGGCAUCCCCCUACCUGGUCACACAUCACAGUCAGCUGAAGGAAAACAGUCCUGAUGGCUCCUUCUCAUCCCCUUGGCUUCUGUUACUGCCUCAUAUUGGAGACACCCCUGGUUUUUCACAUGCAUGAGAGAGAAAAGGAGCCUUGCACUUUCUGAAGCCCCUUGUGCCAAGAGGGAAACCCAGGAACAGAAGGUGAGAGGUCUGACAUCAGUAUAGUACCUAUU